Molecule: long non-coding RNA, 464 nt
Filed under: Canis lupus dingo (dingo)
Lineage: Eukaryota; Metazoa; Chordata; Mammalia; Carnivora; Canidae
Description: lncRNA (ENSCAFG00020020671.1)
Source: RNAcentral
AGGGCCCCAGAGGGCCUGGACCCAGACUCCUCUCUGACCCAUCCUGUUCCAUCAGGGUGAACGUGGAUCCCCUGGCCCAGUGGGACCCCAGGGGCUGCCUGGAGUGGCUGGACGUCCUGGAGCCGAGGGGCCUGAAGGGCCACCGGGACCUGUUGGCCGCCGAGGAGAGAAGGGGGAACCUGGUCGGCCCGGGGACCCUGCAGUGGGACCUGAUGGGACCGGGGCAAAAGGAGAGAAGGGAGAUGUGGGGCCCACUGGGCCCAGAGGAGCUGCGGGAGUCAAAGGGGAGAGGGUGAGUAAAGAGCCUCUAGAGGGAUAGGGCAGGUGAGAGUUGCGUUCCCUGACUUCUGAUCCUUCCACCACAGGGUCCACCUGGCUUGGUUCUUCCUGGAGACCCUGGCCCCAAGGGAGACCCUGGAGACCGGGUGAAUAAAUAUGGGGUUGGGUAGUGUGAAAGAAGGAGA